UGAGGAAUAUUGGGCAAUGCCCGCAAGGGUGACCCAGCAACGCCGCGUGGAGGAUGAAUGUCGUAAGAUUGUAAACUCCUGUCAGAGGGGAAGAAUAGUACCGGUUGGACCGGUAUAUGACUGUACCCUCAGAGAAAGCCCCGGCUAACUACGUGCCAGCAGCCGCGGUAAUACGUAGGGGGCAAGCGUUGUCCGGAUUUACUGGGUGUAAAGGGCGCGCAGGCGGGAUAAAAAGUCAGUGGUGAAAUCCUACAGCUUAACUGUAGAACUGCCUUUGAUACUUUUAUUCUUGAGUUCGGGAGAGAGAGACGGAAUUCCAGGUGUAGUGGUGAAAUACGUAGAUAUCUGGAAGAACACCAGUUGCGAAGGCGGUCUCUUGGUCCGACACUGACGCUGAGGCGCGAAAGCGUGGGGAGCAAACA
RNAcentral lists this ribosomal RNA (422 nucleotides) under uncultured bacterium. RNAcentral's name for it is "bacterial SSU rRNA". It matches the Rfam family "Bacterial small subunit ribosomal RNA", at positions 355 to 774 of the family's 1533-position model. The record is from RNAcentral.